RNAcentral lists this ribosomal RNA (492 nucleotides) under uncultured bacterium. RNAcentral's name for it is "partial 16S ribosomal RNA". It matches the Rfam family "Bacterial small subunit ribosomal RNA", at positions 29 to 507 of the family's 1533-position model. The record is from RNAcentral.
AGUGAACGCUGGCGGUAGGCCUAACACAUGCAAGUCGAACGGCAGCACAGUAAGAGCUUGCUCUUACGGGUGGCGAGUGGCGGACAGGUGAGGAAUACAUCGGAAUCUACUUUUUCGUGGGGGAUAACGUAGGGAAACUUACGCUAAUACCGCAUACGACCUACGGGUGAAAGCAGGGGAUCUUCGGACCUUGCGCGAUUGAAUGAGCCGAUGUCGGAUUAGCUAGUUGGCGGGGUAAAGGCCCACCAAGGCGACGAUCCGUAGCUGGUCUGAGAGGAUGAUCAGCCACACUGGAACUGAGGCACGGUCCAGACUCCUACGGGAGGCAGCAGUGGGGAAUAUUGGACAAUGGGCGCAAGCCUGAUCCAGCCAUACCGCGUGGGUGAAGAAGGCCUUCGGGUUGUAAAGCCCUUUUGUUGGGAAAGAAAAGCAGCAGGUUAAUACCCCGCUGUUCUGACGGUACCCAAAGAAUAAGCACCGGCUAACUUCGUG